ACUCCUGCGGAGGCAGCAGUGGGGAAUAUUGCACAAUGGGCGCAAGCCUGAUGCAGCCAUGCCGCGUGUAUGAAGAAGGCCUUCGGGUUGUAAAGUACUUUCAGCGGGAAGGAAGGCGAUAAGGUUAAUAACCUUGUCGAUUGACGUUACCCGCAGAAGAAGCACCGGCUAACUCCGUGCCAGCAGCCGCGGUAAUACGGAGGGUGCAAGCGUUAAUCGGAAUUACUGGGCGUAAAGCGCACGCAGGCGGUCUGUCAAGUCGGAUGUGAAAUCCCCGGGCUCAACCUGGGAACUGCAUUCGAAACUGGCAGGCUAGAGUCUUGUAGAGGGGGGUAGAAUUCCAGGUGUAGCGGUGAAAUGCGUAGAGAUCUGGAGGAAUACCGGUGGCGAAGGCGGCCCCCUGGACAAAGACUGACGCUCAGGUGCGAAAGCGUGGGGAGCAAACAGGAUUAGAUACCCGUGUAGUCC
This 468-nucleotide ribosomal RNA is filed under the name uncultured organism. RNAcentral's name for it is "partial 16S ribosomal RNA". It matches the Rfam family "Bacterial small subunit ribosomal RNA", at positions 335 to 796 of the family's 1533-position model. The record is from RNAcentral.